This 26-nucleotide small RNA is filed under the name Bombyx mori (domestic silkworm). RNAcentral's name for it is "piRNA piR-bmo-2088555". Lineage: Eukaryota; Metazoa; Arthropoda; Insecta; Lepidoptera; Bombycidae. The record is from RNAcentral.
UGAUUAUCCAGUAGUAGUUGUGUGGU